UACAGAGGUCCCGAGCGUUGUUCGGAUUCAUUGGGCGUAAAGGGUGCGUAGGUGGCGAUGUAAGUCUGGUGUGAAAUCUCGGGGCUCAACCUCGAAAUUGCAUUGGAUACUGCGUUGCUUGAGGAUUGUAGAGGAGAGUGGAAUUCACGGUGUAGCAGUGAAAUGCGUAGAUAUCGUGAGGAAGACCAGUUGCGAAGGCGACUCUCUGGGCAAUUCCUGACACUGAGGCCCGAAGGCUAGGGGAGCAAACGGG
This 253-nucleotide ribosomal RNA is filed under the name uncultured bacterium. RNAcentral's name for it is "partial 16S ribosomal RNA". It matches the Rfam family "Bacterial small subunit ribosomal RNA", at positions 524 to 776 of the family's 1533-position model. The record is from RNAcentral.